This 255-nucleotide long non-coding RNA is filed under the name Vigna radiata. RNAcentral describes it as "long non-coding RNA (VRAD_LNC017954)". Lineage: Eukaryota; Viridiplantae; Streptophyta; Magnoliopsida; Fabales; Fabaceae. The record is from RNAcentral.
AAUCCGGCGUUGGGGCAGGCGUUGACGGCCCUCCUGGCAUCGCAAGGGACGUUGGGGUUGAAUUUGUUGGGGAGUAUUGGAACGAGUGCUGCGGUGAACCCUGGUGUGCCUGCUGCAGGGGCUGGAGUACAGAGUGGCUACAGUGCUCAGUCAAAUAUUAGUCCGGGUGUUAUUGGUGGAUAUGGGGCCCAGGUGGGGUUGCAGGCUGCAUAUCCGAAUCCGAAUCAGCAGAUAGGGCAGAGUGGUUCUGGAAGA